CUGUCUAUAAGCCAUCCUCUGCUUGUAGGCCUGGCAUCUCUCAACUCCCAUUCCCAGCUGGCCAAUUUCCUUUACCGUCUUUGCUUUCUUUGUACUGUAACUGGACUGGAUCAUGUCCAGCCCAGUUUUACCUCCCCUCCUCCCCUUCUCCCCAGUGCUAACACAUCUCUUUUCUCUGCUGUAGCAGUUAGUCUGUAAUGAAGGUUAAUGAUUGAAUGCUGACUGAGGCAAAGUACUGUCUUCCUUCUCUUGUGACCCUCUUUUUGAAGACGAGAUUUUACAUUCAAGGGAUUCCAUGGGGGAAUUCUCCAUGAAAACAUUCUGUCUGGUUGUGCAAACAUUCCACACAGCUGGAUGACAGGAACAUGUGGGCGGGAGGAGUCUGUGUUUCCAAGACCCUUAUUUUUCUUCUCUCUUCCUUUCUCUCUCGCUCUCCCUCUUUUGGCAGUCAUACCACCUCUGAGUUUGGAGUUUAAAACAUUAUAAUAAAACACUGAAGAACUAUGGACCCACAUACAAGGCUUCCUUGCCCACAGUAAUCUCUGGAAACCAGCAGCUUGGAAACUCUCUUACUUUCAUUCAUUCAUUCAUUCAUUCAUUCAUUCAUUCAUUCAUUCAUUCAUUCAUUCAUUCAUUCAUUCAUUCAUUCACUCAUUCAUUCAUUCAGCCACAGACGCCACCUGGGUUUCCAUGGUAAACGCUGGGUCCAGAUGUACCCCCAAGCUGCGGACCUCACUCUUUGCGGCAAGGGUCGUCACCCCAAAAGAAAGGGAGUUACCUAUACCGUUGAUGGAAGGACCGCCCACCCUCAAGACCUCCGUCUUGUCCGGGUUCAGCCUUAACCCAUUCAACUGCAUCCAUUCCAAUACAGUCUCCAGGCAGCGCUGAAGGGAUAGGACGGCAUGCACUUCGGUAGAUGAGAAGGAGAUGUAGAGCUGUGUGUCAUCAGCAUACUGGUGACACGAUGCCCCACACCCCCUGAUGACCCCACCCAGCGGCCUCAUAUAGAUGUUAAACAGCAUUGGAGAGAUGAUCAACCCCUGUGGAACCCCACAGUUGAGACUCCAGGGGGCCGAGACACUCUCCCCAAUCUGAACUCUCUGGGGACGGUCCUCCAAGAAGGGACGGAGCCAGGCAAGGGCCUGGCCACCAAUUACCAACUCAGAGAGCCUCCCCAGGAGGAUACCAUGGGCAACGGUAUCAAAGACCGCCGAGAUGUCGAGGAGGACCAACAAGGACAUAUUGCCCCCAUCGACCUCCCUCAACAGGUCAUCCAUCAGUGCGACCAGUGCCGUCUCUACCGUAGCACAGCCUGAAGCCCAACUGGAAUGGGUCCAGGGCGUUUGUUUCAUCCAAGAGCGCCUGA
RNAcentral lists this long non-coding RNA (1366 nucleotides) under Pogona vitticeps (central bearded dragon). Its description in RNAcentral is "lncRNA (ENSPVIG00000017383.1)". The record is from RNAcentral. Lineage: Eukaryota; Metazoa; Chordata; Lepidosauria; Squamata; Agamidae.